CCUGGAAAGAAAUUUUAGCGUAAUGCUUCCAUAAUUUGUUAAGUUGUCUUUUGUCUGUUUUUUGAAGUUGAAAUAAAGUAAAAAAAAAAAAAAAAAAUCAGUGGUGGGGGUGACGUCAUCAAAACCGCGACAAAAGACGUUCCAUGAGAAAAAAAUCUCCGAGAUAUUCAGUGAAUCUGGGGACUGCAGAACUGUGGCUGAUGGUAGAGACUGGAGGACUCCACAAAUGCCGAAUUGGAGAAAGAAGAAAAAUAGCAGAUCCAGUGUCAAAUGUGAAAAUGGACAUGCAUUGUUAAGGUAACUUGUAGUUCAUGGAAUCAUGUGUACUCUCAUAGUAAGUUUUCCAAGCUCUUCUAUGAUAUCUGUGUAAUUCUCUAGAUUAGUUGUGUUUAUAGUGUGGUUGAUACUGAGCAAAAGUAGGGUCUUUCCUCCCAAUGCAUUUUAAGAUCAAUUUGUGAGACACUGGGAUUCCAAGAGAAAGAGUUAUUUAGUCUAGUGAAGAGGUCAUUGGCCCAAGGGCCCAAAAAUCUCCCUCUCUGAUUUUGAAUGGUUUAGAGUUUUUAUGGAUUCAAACGGGGGAGGGUGGUAUGGUUAUCAUCACAAUACUAAAUAUACACAAGCAUGAAUCUGGAGUUGAAAUAACCAUAAACAAAGCUAAGGUCAGUCUACAAUAGUCACCACAAUAGUAACUAUACACAAGGGUAAGUCUAGUGUUGAAAUAAUCAUAAAAUAGGUAAAAUCAGGCUAGAAUAACCAUCAAAAUAAUAAUUAUACACAGGAGUGAGCAUAAUAUUCAAAUAACCAUAAACAAAUAUAAAGUCAGUCUAGAAUAACCCCCACAGUAGUAACUACACACAGGGUAAGUCUAGUUUUGAAAUAUCUGUAAACAAAGGUAAGGUCAGACUAGAAUAACCAUCAUAGCAGUAAGCAUACAGAAGAGUGAGCCUAGUUUGAAAUAACCAUAAAGAAGAUGAGGUCAAUCUAGCCAGUUUCAGUAUUUCAGUUAUCAGCUUUUGGUUAUUCUAUAAUAUACUGAAAAAAUAAGAAAAAAGGCACCUUUAUAACAAUCCAGUAACAGUAAACUUUUCUUAAUUCUUAAUUCUAGGUUACAGUGUUAUAGGACAUAAAGCUUAAAGCAGAGUAAAGAGGAUCUUUGCUCUAGAAAUCAUAUUUAUAUGAAACAAAUGAUAUAGUUUGAUCCAAAGAGAUUGAAGCAUUUGGGACAAGAAAGAAAUUUGCUAUGGGUAGAACAACGGGGUCCCUUGCAGUGUGCAUAGAUCAGGAUUUAUGGUGACAAAUCCAACAGUGUAUGAAGUUACCUCCCUUUGAAAUGUCCUGGGAGAAGCACAGACAAUGGCAUUGUCUUUCCAGGCCAGUACAAGGACAAAGUAU
This 1392-nucleotide long non-coding RNA is filed under the name Dasypus novemcinctus (nine-banded armadillo). RNAcentral describes it as "lncRNA (ENSDNOG00000050157.1)". The record is from RNAcentral. Lineage: Eukaryota; Metazoa; Chordata; Mammalia; Cingulata; Dasypodidae.